RNAcentral lists this transfer RNA (83 nucleotides) under Schistocephalus solidus. It matches the Rfam family "tRNA". From Rfam's summary of the family: Transfer RNA (tRNA) molecules are approximately 80 nucleotides in length. Their secondary structure includes four short double-helical elements and three loops (D, anti-codon, and T loops). Lineage: Eukaryota; Metazoa; Platyhelminthes; Cestoda; Diphyllobothriidea; Diphyllobothriidae. The record is from Rfam by way of RNAcentral.
AGCCUCAUAGUUCAGGUGGUUAUAGAGUUAACUGUACAUAAGUCUUGCACUUGCAGUCGUGGGUUCGAAUCCCACCGAGGCCA